Molecule: ribosomal RNA, 469 nt
Filed under: uncultured bacterium
Lineage: Bacteria
Description: bacterial SSU rRNA
Rfam family: Bacterial small subunit ribosomal RNA
Source: RNAcentral
GAUGAACGCUAGCGGCAGGCUUAACACAUGCAAGUCGAGGGGUAGAAGGAGCUUGCUCCUUUGAGACCGGCGCACGGGUGCGUAACGCGUAUGCAAUCUACCUUUUGCAGAGGGAUAGCCCAGAGAAAUUUGGAUUAAUACCUCAUAGUAUGUGAGGAUGGCAUCAUUUUCACAUUAAAGUCACAACGGCAAAAGAUGAGCAUGCGUCCCAUUAGCUAGUUGGUAAGGUAACGGCUUACCAAGGCUACGAUGGGUAGGGGUCCUGAGAGGGAGAUCCCCCACACUGGUACUGAGACACGGACCAGACUCCUACGGGAGGCAGCAGUGAGGAAUAUUGGACAAUGGGCGCAAGCCUGAUCCAGCCAUGCCGCGUGCAGGAUGACGGUCCUAUGGAUUGUAAACUGCUUUUGUACAGGAAGAAACACUACUUCGUGAAGUAGCUUGACGGUACUGUAAGAAUAAGGAUCGG